GGAAAGAUGGUAUUUAUAUAUUGAUCUCAAAGAACAAAGCAAAAAAUGGAAAAGAGAGGUAAAUGAACAAUCAUAGCAGACUCUUCAAGCAUCUGUAAGAAUAUACAUUCUAUAUUGCAACUCUGGAAUGUAGCAUCUCUUACUCUAAAAUAUGCCUAUACAUAUAUACCAAUUUAUUUUCUGAUUCUUCAGAUAUCCUUCUUUUAACUCCCUCUAGGAAUGAUUAUAGUCUUAACUAGACCAAAUAUAGCCUGCCCCAAGGAGCAACUAUUGAUUCAUUAAACUAAUUUGUGAAGAAGGCUUCAUUGAGUCCUGUAAGAGAUUCAUCCUUUAUUCUGUCUUCUUCCCCCUCUUCCUGAAAAUGACAGACCAGCAACCAACUCCUCCAUUCCUGUAUCAAAAGAUAAAAAAAAUCCCAUCUUAAAACCUACCAAGUUGUUUAAAUUUCGAGGAAAUUGAAGUCAAGUGAAGGAAAAGGAAAAUUGUGAUAUUACAUGGAAAAUGCUUUUCUUGGAAUUUGUUAUUUCUUUUUCUUUAUCCAAGACUUUGACGCGUAAAGGCAUUAGAGAAUACAAGGAAAUUGUAAAUGAAAUUUACCAAAUUUUAUGAACAAUCAAAUAAUUCUACCCAAAAAUGAAAAAAAAAAAGAUCAAACAAUUCUUUUUGUGUUGGAAAAAUUUUGUCUUUGUACUUAGCAUUCUGUAAUUUUCCAUGGUUCCCCUGUUUCAUACUCUGUUUUGCAAAGGACAAGUUUCAGAAAAUUCUCCCAGUCCCCCUACUUGUUUUGGCAAGAAGAUAAAAUUACUACUGAGAUCUGAAUAUGUAAACUUAUUGUGAAUCUAAACUUAGCAAAAGAAGCAAUUGAUUAUGGCAUACCUGGUGCUGCCGUUUCUGCUGCUACUUCUACUGCUGCUGCUGCCACUGCUUUUUGAGCUUCCACUAUUGCUACUUAAUCCACCACUUUCACUUUCCCCCGACUCCGAGAAUCUGUUCUUCCACCACUCGUUUUCUACACCUUUGGCAGAUCCAUCCAAUAGCAGAGGCUUUGGAGACACCCUUCCAUCUCUUGCACUAUUAUUCAUCGCUAAGUUAUUAUUAUUGUUGCUGUUUUUCUUCAUCUUCUUUCUUGAACCCAAAGAAAAUGGAAACACCAUCUUCAGAAGAAACCCUCCAUUGUCUAUGCUUCCACUUCUGUUCAUUUGCACUUUUUUAUCAUUCUUUUUCUUCUCCGAUUUUUCCCUCGUAUACAUGUAUUCACUUGUUAUACUCCUUUCUUUACUAAAACUUUCAUCCUUAGCCUGAUCAACCAUGUUCUGCUCUACAAUAUCUUUUAAAGAUAACUCGUAACAUCCCUCAGGCAUUCGACUCACCAUCUCCAUGAGCUCCUUCUGACCUCUUGCAAUCGCUUGAGCUCUCGACGUAGGAGAAAGACUUCUAUAAUGGUUUUGGCGAUGUUGGGGGCUUCUGGAUGGACUCGUCCCCCAUAAAGGAGGGGAAAAAACAGCAGAAUCGUCAUCAUCUAUGAGCUUCCUCUCAGCUUCAAAUUCAGGCAAGCUAUUCCAGGUCUGGUAGUUGGCAUAAUUCUGUGCCGUUUUCUGAGCUCGGAAGCCAUAAUUUCUGGCAGAAAAACUGUCGGUUACUCGGCCAUUGGAAAAAUGUACAUGAUUGAUUUCAGGAAAUUUUGUCGCAGGAUCUAGCAUGGUUUAAUUUGUAGAAUCGGAAGAAGAAGAAGCAGCUGUGAUUUGUACUCGACGUUAAAUUUGGUAAGAAGAAAUGGGCGUGAAAGGCAAGGCAAUUAAGCAUUCACCGACCCCUAGUGGUGCGUGGCUCCCAAGAUUAUGUCAUAUUCUC
Molecule: unclassified non-coding RNA, 1851 nt
Filed under: Hevea brasiliensis (rubber tree)
Lineage: Eukaryota; Viridiplantae; Streptophyta; Magnoliopsida; Malpighiales; Euphorbiaceae
Source: RNAcentral